RNAcentral lists this long non-coding RNA (221 nucleotides) under Polistes fuscatus (common paper wasp). RNAcentral describes it as "uncharacterized LOC122524419". Lineage: Eukaryota; Metazoa; Arthropoda; Insecta; Hymenoptera; Vespidae. The record is from RNAcentral.
GAUGCUGACUGCUGGCUGCUGGCUCUGCUGGGUUAUCGGCAAAAUAGGGUGGCACACUACGCGUGUGCUAGAUGAUCAUGAUUCACAUAUGGCACCCAUAGGAUGAGAGAAAUAAUGACGAGGAAACCGUCGGACACCGUGCUUUUGCAAAAGUACAAACGAAACAUUCGAAAUCACGAAGAACGAUUUAUACCAUCAUUUCGACGAAAAAAAGAUAUUCC